Non-coding RNA from Rattus norvegicus (Norway rat), 70 nucleotides. NCBI's taxonomy places the organism in Eukaryota, Metazoa, Chordata, Mammalia, Rodentia, Muridae. The record is from Rfam.
UGGUCAGUCAGGCUCCUGGCUGAAUCCAGGACUUAUCUGGUCCUGGGUGUACCCAAAGCCCAACUGUAUG